UACAGAGGUCUCAAGCGUUGUUCGGAUUCAUUGGGCGUAAAGGGUGCGUAGGCGGCGUGGUAAGUCGGAUGUGAAAUCUCGGAGCUUAACUCCGAAACUGCAUUCGAUACUGCCGUGCUUGAGGACUGGAGAGGAGACUGGAAUUUACGGUGUAGCGGUGAAAUGCGUAGAUAUCGUAAGGAAGACCAGUGGCGAAGGCGGGUCUCUGGACAGUUUCUGACGCUGAGGCACGAAGGUCAGGGGAGCAAACGGG
This 253-nucleotide ribosomal RNA is filed under the name uncultured bacterium. RNAcentral describes it as "partial 16S ribosomal RNA". It matches the Rfam family "Bacterial small subunit ribosomal RNA", at positions 524 to 776 of the family's 1533-position model. The record is from RNAcentral.